Molecule: long non-coding RNA, 2503 nt
Organism: Sapajus apella (tufted capuchin)
Lineage: Eukaryota; Metazoa; Chordata; Mammalia; Primates; Cebidae
Exons: 3
Source: RefSeq, a predicted model, not a curated record
CUUAGACUCCCAAGUAGCUGGGAUUACAGGCAUGUGCCACCACACCUGGCUAACUGGCCUCAAGAAGUAACCCCCUGCUUUGGCCCCCCAAAGUUCUGGGAUUACAGGUGUCAGCCCCCGCACCCAGCAAGUUAUAUAGCCUUAAUGUAAUCCAAUGGAAAAUAGUUUUUCAAAAUUCCUUCUGUAGAAUCCACCUGCAAACAAUAUUUGCCAGGGACUUUAUUAAAGAUCACAUAGCAGCUUUAGUUCGGGAUUUUGUGAGAAAAUGCAAACAGCUUUUGUGGACUCCAGAGGUAGUAAUGUUACCAUGGAACCCUUUGUCUAUCUUGUGGACUCAUCCCUUCAACAUCAUUUCUUUUCUGCUUCUUUUGUUCUUUUAUAGGCACAAAACAGCAAUAUCACCUACCCCUCCCAUUGUCUUCUUUAGAGUAAGUUCUCUCUUCUGAAGCCUUGGUAUAGGCUGACAUCCUUCUUUUAUAUUUUACUGAAUUGCAGGUCAGAGCUUGGUCUCUCUCAUCCUGUAUCUUCUUCAGCUUGAGCAAAAUUUCAUCCACACUUGAACUGCCAAGUUGCAUGGAAUGACUCAGAUGUUAAACUACCAUUGCUUCAACACAUAUGAGUAACACAUAAAACUAGAGAAACAAACUUAACUCAGAUGUUAAGCUAUCAUUGCUUCAACACAUGAGUAAUAUUAUACAAAACUAGAGAAACAAAACAAAACUUGUACCUGAUUUGCACUGGCACCUGAUGUGUCUUACAUUGCAGUUGCAUUGACCUUCCCAGUAUAAAAGGAUAUGGCUGCUGCUUCUUUUCCACUUUUCAAAUGUCAUCUAAAGUGUCUCCACAGAGAACUAUGGAGCACAUUAAACUUUUAGCUCUGAGUGUUCAACCUGUAUGUAUUCUAGCUAUUAUGAAUGUACUCCUCUAUGAAUUUACACCAGCACAUUAUUUUCUCUGUGAGGUAGAGAAAAGUGAAAGAAAAUUAGAUGUGAUAUAAAUUAGAUCAAUAGCUUGUAUAGGGAAACAUAUUCAUAUUUGUAAGUAAUUUUAUUAGUUCAUUUCCUGGUUUCACAUACCUACAGUUAAAUGUCUUCACUGUGAAGACAAUACCUGUGUCUUGAAAUAAUUUUCAUGAAUUCUCUUAUUUUCCCAAGUCUGAGAAGAAUUAAUUCUUCAAGAUGUCAGAAUUAGAAAAGGGUUUCAAUGGUUAGAAUUACAAAACUCAUCCAUGCCAUAAUUAAGAACAUUGUUCUCUUAUGACUGAAUUAAUUUCAGCAUGAAUGUGGCUUUCAGAAUAAUCUAUUGGAGGGAAUCUUAAGUUUCUAAUAAUUUAAUAAUAUUUACAUUUUACCCAAAGAAAACUAUUUAAAACAAAAUCAUUUGGAAAAAUAGAAGUUGACAAAAUAUUAACCUAAAGCUUUAAAUGUAGAAUUUUCUCCUUUAUCACUCUAAAUUUGAAUGGAUUACAUGAAAUAAGUUGUUGGAAAAAAAUUUAUUAAAUAGUAUCCCCCUGAGUGUAAUAGAUAUACGUUUUACUAGACAAGUUUGAAUCAGAGAAACAGAGCUCCUAGGAAUGAUAAUGACCAGAGGAUUGACUACAUGGAUUCCAACUUACACAUUUGUAGGAGCUUGUUAAACUAUAUAAACCUGCUUUUUUCUACAUUAGACACUGAGACUGAAGUCAGGAAGGCAGGCCAUUGGGAAGGAAAUAUGGUGAAGUGGGGAAGGAACAAGACAAAUUAGAACACAUAAGAGUGAGCUGGAACACAUGUAGGUCUUUUGUCAGCUCCAAGUUCCAACAUCAGUGUUGUUUCUGACUAGAUAUAAAACUGGUGGCCUUUCCUAUGAAGCUAAACACAGCACUGGCCCAAGAGUCAGAGAAGAUAAAGGAAGAGACUCAACAGGAGUUGGACGAGCAAGUCCUGUUGCUGGUAUAGACACUGCAUUCACUGGCCAAGGAUUUGGAGAAGCUGAAGGAGGAGAUACAGCUGUUGCUGGAGUGACUGUUGGCUGGCCCUGCUCCACUUAGACAAGAACACUUGCAGAUACACUUGAAUAAGAAGAGAAAGGGCCUGUAUCCAAGGCUAUCACAGAGGCAGCUAAGACUGCCAAGCAGCUGACCUCUGAAGUACAGGCUCUGCUGACAAUUUGAAACAUAAACACAGAUUUGCAUCUUGAUUGAAGCAAAGGCAUCCGUCUUUUCCCAGAUAGCAAGAAGUUUGGUUGCUGUGGCAACAUGUUGACUAAGGAAUUUAAAAAUAAAGGUGGCUCAUUUCCAAAUCGUUUUUCUACCUUUUCUUCAUGAAAAAAGCACACACUGGUAAGAAACUUCCACUGGAGUUUUUAUAACCAAUAAGCCUAUUGUUUGCUGAAAGAUUACAUCCCCAAACUUGCAUGUUAAGUAGGUGAGAAUGUGUACAUUUGGCUUUCAUAUACUUUUAAAUCAUAAAACAUGGAACUACCUCAUUUUAAACAACUUUUCCUUCCCUCUCUCCCUUUUUCC